GCCGCCUUAGCUCAGCCGGUAGAGCAUCGCAUUCGUAAUGCGAGGGUCAGGUUUUCGAGUCACCUAGGCGGCACCA
Molecule: transfer RNA, 76 nt
Filed under: Alphaproteobacteria bacterium
Lineage: Bacteria; Pseudomonadati; Pseudomonadota; Alphaproteobacteria
Description: tRNA-Thr
Rfam family: tRNA
About the family: Transfer RNA (tRNA) molecules are approximately 80 nucleotides in length. Their secondary structure includes four short double-helical elements and three loops (D, anti-codon, and T loops).
Source: RNAcentral